This 253-nucleotide ribosomal RNA is filed under the name uncultured bacterium. Its description in RNAcentral is "partial 16S ribosomal RNA". It matches the Rfam family "Bacterial small subunit ribosomal RNA", at positions 524 to 776 of the family's 1533-position model. The record is from RNAcentral.
UACGGGGGGGGCAAGCGUUGUUCGGAAUUACUGGGCGUAAAGGGCGCGUAGGCGGUCUGUUAAGUUCGGUGUGAAAGCCCCCGGCUCAACCUGGGAACUGCGUCUGAUACUGGAUGGCUUGAAUCCGGGAGAGGGAUGCAGAAUUCCAGGUGUAGCGGUGAAAUGCGUAGAUAUCUGGAGGAAUACCGGUGGCGAAGGCGGCAUCCUGGACCGGCAUUGACGCUGAGGAGCGAAAGCCAGGGGAGCAAACGGG